AAUGUUUUUGUUUUGUCAACGAGUCAAUCAACAAUCGUGGGCGUGGUCCACACACCGCCAUGAGAAAAGAACCACACGUCAUCACCAUGGAAACGCUUCUUCGCCCGGAAGUGAGGGGCACUUUUAAAUUCCGGGCUAACGCAACGGUUUGUUUAGAAAUGUAUGAUUCGGAAAGGCCAUACAUGUGUAGCUAUUGUCAGGGAGAAACCCGGGGGACGUUUAAACAGUUUCAGACUGUACAAGACACCCAAAGAGGGCAUUCAGGUGCACUGGAUUUUGGCUUGCUGUUGAAAAGCUAAAUGAGCUAAAGCUGACUAGGCCUACUUGCCAUUGAAUUGGACUAGCUUCAGCUGCAGUCUACACGUGGGAGUGCUACGAUCUACUCAAGAUGCUGUUGUGAUAGCGAGGAGAGAGUAUGGUGGAUUCUCACAAGGAUUGCUCUUCUGAGGGGCUGCAGUUUAUUACAAAUGGGAAAGCUUUCAUUGCAGAUUGCCCUAGCGCUGCGUAGAGGUCCACCACCUGCCCUGGCCUGCGCUGUCUUUCCCCCAGCCAAGGAAGCUCAUGCCUGGGCACUCUGGGCAGCGGCCCAGCCUUUCACAUCCAGGUCCAGGGCCAAGAGACAUGGGCCAACAGCUGGCAGUAUGCAGAAGGAGCCUGGAGGCUUCCACAGCAGAUGAAUCACCACGGAUUAAUAUUUAACUCCAGACUCCUGCUCCCCUCUAGCGUCCCCCUCCCCCCGCUCUCUUCUUACCACCUUCCUUCUCCUUGUACCCAUCACUCCAUCCCCCAGUCCUGCAGUCUUUCAGCAGGUUCCUCUCGGCCAUCCGUCUACUGCAUCAUCAUCAUUGUCCAGCAUGAUGUCCAAAACCACUGUGAGUUUCAGCAGCAAGAGGUGUAGUUUGAGUUGUCACGACAACCUGCGCGCCUGGCUCAUGGCUUUCUUCCAAGUGCAGACAAAGCUGUCGCCGAAUGAACCAGGCGUGUGUCCACCGGACCUGAGGGGUGCCGCCACCGCUAACAAAACACACAAAGACCCUCGCCCCUGGCACUGGCCCUCACCCCGUCUACCCGCUCUCCUGCCCCUCCCACACUCGGCUGCCUGCUGCUUUGUGCCUGCUCCAAGAAGAGGAAGUUCCUCUCAUCUCCUA
Long non-coding RNA from Etheostoma cragini (Arkansas darter), 1148 nucleotides. RefSeq lists it as uncharacterized. Lineage: Eukaryota; Metazoa; Chordata; Actinopteri; Perciformes; Percidae. The record is from RefSeq and is a predicted model, not a curated record. The transcript is spliced from 6 exons.